RNAcentral lists this long non-coding RNA (2918 nucleotides) under Fukomys damarensis (Damara mole-rat). RNAcentral's name for it is "lncRNA (ENSFDAG00000027744.1)". The record is from RNAcentral. Lineage: Eukaryota; Metazoa; Chordata; Mammalia; Rodentia; Bathyergidae.
GCUGCUCCUGCUAACAUGUUAACAGGAAGAAAGAAUAAGGCUUAUCCAGCUGAACUGUGUCAUGUGACCAUGACAAUCUCGAAAAGGAACAAUGGAAGAAGCUAGAAAUAGAGCUUGAGUCAUUCAAUCAAUACUGUCUGAAACAUCAUGCUUCUCUGUACUACAGUCUUAUGUGAGCUUGCUUCUCCAGAGGAAGCAGAGAUUGAAAUGUCACACCAGCAUGAUCAAUUAGAUAAUGCAGAACAGAGAGGCAUUUGCUACCUGACAUUAAUACAUAGGAUAAGAAUGACUGAAUGGAGACAAUGGAAUAAAAGAUGCAAAGGAACUUCAGUUAACUCUUCCAGGCUGAAGAAUGCUGUUGGGCCUGGUGGAACACACCUGUAAUUCUAGCUACCCAGAGAUUGAGGCAAGAGGAUUGUAAGUUUGAGGCAAACUUAGGCAACUUAACAAGACCCUGUCUCAAAAAUAAAAUAGAAAGGACUGGUGAGAUAGCUCAGGGAUAGGACACUUUUUUAGCAUGCAUGAGGCCUUGGGUGCAAUACCCAACAUUGAAAAAAAAAAGGCAGUAAUAUCUAAACAUCACUGGGCACAUCUAGUGUUUAAUUAUAUACAGUGUUUGUUCAAUUGAGUGUCUUUUUCUCUUAUCACUGUUAACACAGCUUAUAUUGGUAUCAUUUUUCCAAUUAAUCUGAUAGACAAAACAGGAAGUCAGAGGUAGGAAGCUGCUCUGGGCUGAAGAUUCUCUUCUAUGAGCCUGAUCCUGACUGUGAUAACCUGGGUAGGAUGUGACAGUCAUAUCAUAUGUAAGCUCUCACACGCAAAUAUUAUUUUUAAAUAUUGUAGCACAUUCCCAGUUUGGCUGAACCCUUUGUAUGUCAGUACAUAAAGAGCUAACUCUUCUUUUUCCUAAAACAUAUUUUCCUGUUUGGUUUUAAAUUUUCUGGCUGUUCAAAGUGAUGUUAUAAUAAACGGAUUCAGUAUAUUCUCUUGUUCAUUUGUUUACAUAUUUCUGAAUGAUUUUUCUUCCUGGAAGUAGACCUCUAAGUGAAAGAUUCUGCACCCCUCACACUUUGAUAGAUAGGGCCAAAUUGCCUUUCAAAAAGCUUCCAACAGUUCAUGCUUUCCCACCAGUUAAGUGUCAGAAUGUCAUGCUUUUAUUUCCUCUUCGAAACAGUAUUUAUCCUCUCCUUUUGAUCUUGCCUAUCUGAUGCAUGCGAGUAUUGUCUUAGUUCACUUUCUGUUGGUUAUCAGGGAGACAGCACUGUUCUUCUGUACAAAUACUUUCUUGUCCUUUUUGAUACACAGUUGAGGACUGACUUGCUCAGCCCUAAAGCUUUCACUUCUUGCCGAUGAGCUCAUUAAGCGGUAGCUGUCUUUGAUAACAUGAGUAACUAGAACAGCUUAUCUGUCUCUUGGUUGUGUCAUUCUUUGUAAUAUCAUUGAAAUCUUAGCUUAAACCUUUUGCUUCCUGUUCUGGAGCUCCUCUAAGGCUGUGACUUGGGACAUCACAGAGCCCUGCAUGGCACUAAAGCACACGAUUUUUGGAUUAAUGGGGAGCUAACACUCCUGGGACAACUUUUAUAGGUAGAGGAUAAUGUUGCCAGAUAAAUUUGUCUUCUUUUCUUCCUCUAGGUGGAUCCUUCUGAAGUUGGUUCAUAAGACUAUUAUCAGGUCUACAGGGAUGAAUUGCCCAUAGCAGUAUCCAAUGCAUCUGCAGUGGGGUGGAAAACAAUACCAGAGGAGGGCUAUGUUCUGGUCUCAGAUAUCUGCAAGUGUGUUAUUUUGCAUUAUAAAAGGAGCUUUAAAGGAUUUUGAGAAUGGUAAAUUAUCCUAGGCAUCCUAAUGGGACCAAUAUACUUAUAAGAAUUCUCACACACAGAAGCCAGUUGAGUUAAAGGAAGUAAAAAGUAUGAUGUAAGUAAAAAGUUGAAUGAUAUGAGAAAGGUACCAUGAACUGAGGAAUACUGAAUAUUUUUUCCAGAAUCUUCAAAAAGCAAGGGAAAAGAUUAUACGCUUACAGUCUCUGGAAGAAACAAGGUUUGCUAACACUGUAAUUGUAGAUUGUAACACCCAUUUCAGACUUCUAACCUUCAGAAAGAUGAGACAAUACAUUUUUUGCCAUAUGUUGUGGCACAUAUCUAUAAUCUCAGCACUUAGGAGGCCGAGGCAGGAGAAUUGCCGCAAGCUCAACACCAACCUGGGCUACUUAGUGAGUUCAUAUCCAUCCUGAACAGCAUAGUGAGGCCCUGUCUCAAAAAAAAAAAAAAAUCCCCCCCAAACAAAGAACAGAACAAAACAAAAUACCACAAUGAAUAUGUUGGUAUCAUUUAGGUUUUCUACCAUGUUUGUGGUAAUAUGAUUUAACAGUAACAAGAAAAUGGCUGGGUAUGGUGGUACAUGUCUCUAAUCCCAGCACUCAGGAGUAUGAGGUAAGAGGAUUGCCUGGGCUAAAUAUAAUCCAAGGCCAGCAUAAACUACAUAGUGAGACCCUGUUUCAAAAAACCAAACCAAAUCAAAUGAACCAAACAAACAAAACCCCCAAAACAAAUCAAAAAAUCAAGGAACUAACAUAACAUCUGUAUUUUAUUUCCUCAUUUUCCAUUCUUGUUUCUUGGGAACACAUUCCUGAAUUAAGUGCUAAUACAGAAGCUUUGUCUCAGAGUCUGCUUUUGGCAGUCCUCCAGCUAAGGGUACAAAGUAAGUGGGCUGUUAUCAAUAGAUUCUAAGUUACAUUUAUCCUGUGGACCCGACCAAAGAAGUGAUAUUGGUUUAUCUUGGAUCUCAUCCAAGGUGGUCAUUGGCAGUGAUGGGAAACCUCAACUCAAAGAUGGUCAAGCAUACUCAGUGACCAAGGGCAUCAGGAGAAGUGGUAAGUGGCAAGCCAGAAUAUUCUAUUAUGGCUUGUAUCUAGGUGUCCC